This 1482-nucleotide ribosomal RNA is filed under the name Triticum aestivum (bread wheat). RNAcentral's name for it is "partial small subunit ribosomal RNA". The record is from RNAcentral. Lineage: Eukaryota; Viridiplantae; Streptophyta; Magnoliopsida; Poales; Poaceae.
AUGAGGUUGGGAUCCAUGCCGGUGCUCUCCCUCUUCGUCAACGCGCUCCCCCUCUUCGUCGUCCUCCGGUCCGACGCGAAUGCGUUCGCCACCCCCACAGAUAACAUCGUGAGGCAGCUAUCGUCGGUGGUGAAGUGGCCACGCGGUUCUCCCCCCCACUCGCCCAAGCAGUCCUCACACCCCCAGUAUGAUGGGAAUGUAGCAGUGCAAUUUGAGAGUGGCUACUUUGUUGAGACGCUUGUUGAAGGAGACAAGCUCGGUGUCACGCCCCACACCAUUAGGGUGUCCCCAGUUGAGGGUGGAGAGCUUCUUGCAGUAGACUCAGCACAUAGCAACAUUGUGCGAAUAACCCCACCAUUAUCUGAAUAUAGCAGGGGAAGGCUAGUUGCUGGUUCUUUCCAGGGGCAUGCAGGUCAUAUCGAUGGUAAACCUAUUGAUGCAAGAUUCAAACGCCCCACUGGUGUUGCUGUGGAUGAUACAGGAAAUGUUUACAUUGCUGAUACAGCAAAUUUGGCAAUUCGAAAGAUUGGCGAGUCAGGGGUGACCACUAUUGCUGGUGGAAAAUCCAAUAUCCCAGGGUAUAGGGAUGGUCCCAGUGAAGAUGCAAAGUUCUCUACUGAUUUUGAUGUUGUAUAUGUGAAGAAAAUGUGCUCUCUGUUGGUCAUUGACCGUGGGAAUGCUGCCCUUCGGAAAAUCGUCCUUCCGCAAGAGGACUGUACUUACCAGGAUGCCGCAUUCCUAUCUUCAGAUAUCAUACUGGUUAUUGGUGCCGUUGUGGCUGGAUAUCUCUUUUCUGUGGUACAGCACGGAUUUGGUUCAUCAACUUCUGAAAAGAUAGAAGCAUCUGAAGAUGGUAAACAAGAGAGCAGCACUGCAGGAAAGCCACCUUUGGUUGUGGAGAGCCUUAAAGAGGAACCAAGUGCGGGAUGGCCGUCUUUGGGGACACUUGUUGCUGAUCUACUGAAGCUUGCUGUUGAAGGUGUGGGGAAUCUUGUCCUCAACAUUGCCCCGCUGCACAUGCAACGUGUGAAGAGAAAAACAGGCCUCACUCCUCUCAAAGAUAGGCUUGUGAUGCCCGAGGACAGGGAGGAGAACCCAGUAGCCCAGAAGCUCAGUAGCACCCCAAUGAUAACCGAGACGCUCCAUGCUCCUAGUGCUGCUAACGAGACCGUGGCAAAGGCUCAGAAGAGCAUCAAAUCAUCGAAAUUCAGGGAUUCUACUCUCUCAAGCAAGCACAGGUCCACCAAGAGACAGGAGUACGCUGAGUUCUACGGUUCAACCGAGACACCUCAAGCAAGCGCAAAGGUCCCAAAAGACCGGCUCCGCCACCGUCAUCGGGAGAAGAGUGGGGAGGUUACCUAUGGGACUGGGCAUCCAGAGCCUAAGCCCUCAGAGAUGAAAGCGGCAGACUACAGCGAUCCGAAGUAUGAUCACUACAACAUGAGAAGCAAAUAUGGUGCUGACAGCGGCUUCAGGUACUGA